This is a long non-coding RNA of Capra hircus (goat), 3155 nucleotides long. RefSeq lists it as uncharacterized. NCBI's taxonomy places the organism in Eukaryota, Metazoa, Chordata, Mammalia, Artiodactyla, Bovidae. The record is from RefSeq and is a predicted model, not a curated record. The transcript is spliced from 3 exons.
UCGCUGUGAUGGCCGCCGCCAAGGCAGGAGUUUGGAGUUUCUGCUGUUCCGGACGGCUUGGGGGGCUCUCUGUAUCGUUAGAGGGCCCCCAGCAGCCCCCAGGUUGCCAAGGGCCUGUUAGUUGUGUGUUUGGGAGGUGGGAGAGCGGCCUGACGGGUUAAUUUGGUGGCCUACUGUCGUUAGAUUGGCCAGGGGGGCCUCUGGCGGCUACCGGCUCUGUGAGGGGGGCCACAACCUGUAGGACCCUGGCCGUUUGGCCUUCUGCCUUUGAAAUUUCGCUGUGGCUAGCGCCUGAGAGUUUUAGAGUCUGCUUUAUUUUGUUGUGCUUUGUGCCCUGCGCCCCUCCCCCUCUCUUACAGCGUUCCACCCUGUCGUUGUACUCUUGAUGCUUACGACCCUGUUUGGGGUUAGGUUGGGCUCGUUUUCGUGGGUCUGGUGGGAUUUAUGCACGAGCUGGGAUUUUGGAAAGGGUGGACAGCAGUAGCUUGGGUGUUGUCUCUUUUGUUUUAGGUGUAAGAAGUUGCAUGAGUUGUGAGUCUGUCGUUGGUGAGUGUGCGAUUCACUUUCUCUUGCUUUUGGUGAACUUUGCCCUUGUUUGCUAAUGCUGCGAGGCCGUGGCCGGCCGUUCCUGCUUGUGGAAUGCUUUUCUGUUAGCUUGAAUGUGUUGUUAAAUCUUUGAAAACUUCAGAGGAGUGUUUUGCAGUUGUUUGUAGUAAGGAACUGUGUGCAAAAAUGGAUAUAAAGCAAAUGCCAAUAUCACAAGUUCCUGUAGUUUUAGGAAGCAAGCCCCUGUGGCUUCUCUGGUGCUCUGAAGUUGUUUGGAAAGUUUUAUGGGAAUCAGAUUUACUUUUCCUUGUGUUAAUAUUACUCUUGGCUCAUAAGAUUCCUCUGCAGGUUGGGACAGUUUGACCUUUGUUAUUGGGUGUUUUCUCAGUAUCAGGCAAAAGGAGACACUGUGCAUUGCCGUUUAACUGCACCUGUUAACAUCUCAGGAUAACACCAGAUUGCUAAGCAGGUCAUCAGCUGCCUUACCUACUGUGCAAACUUGGACCUCACUAUUUCUGGUGUCUAGGAAGGUCUUUCAAGUUUGGUGAAGUAGGUGAUUUCAGAUAACGUACAGUAGAUGCUUUGGAAGUCAGGUAUCAGUUUUUAGAUUGCAGGGGCAGGCCACAUUACAGAAAUUAUUUAUAGAGAAAGUAAAAAAUAUGUUCCAUUUUUUUCUUGGUAUAAUUGAAAGCAUCUGAAACCUGUUUCUGUGUCAUUCCAUUACACCACUUCAUAUAUAAUUGAAAAGCCCUUUGAUAUUUUGUGAUGAAGUGGAUUAUAAUUUUGCUCUUGUCUGAGUUUGCUUAGUGCUUGACUAGUUGAGAGAUACUAAUGGUAGAAAAAGGAGGAGCGAAGCUCGAUGGGUUUGUAUGUGUGUUUCUUUUGAAGCAUGAUAUCAGGUUUAAAUUGGUAGACUGAUAUUGUUGGCUUGCUAAUCACGUAACUUCAGUUCUGCUGCUGAUGUAAUGUGUGUUUUGUAAUCCAUAAAGCCCUUUCCUUUCCUCUGACCUCACCCCAGUGUGUCUCAGAAUAUUAGCUAACUUUCCAUUUGCAAAAAAGAUUGAGACGCUUAUUUUUAAAUGAUCUAUAUUGUCCAUAUUGGUUAUGUUUUGGUGAUUUAACAGAAAAAUGAGUGAGUGCGUUUUGUAUCUCAGGAAAGCUGGAUAGCUGGAAGUUAUAGAUUUGUAGAAUCACUCAGAAGUAGUCAAAACCAAGCACAAUUUUCUUUGAAAAAUGAUACCUAAGUUUUAAACUGCCAAGUUACUCUGACUUGAGUUAAGUAGAACAAACAAACAGUUCAUAAGAAGGUGCUCUGAGAGUGGAUGGGUGUGUGUAAAUUUAGAGAUAAACUUAGUGCAUUUGCAAAGAACCCUCGUUCUUGGGACAUUUAGACACAUUUCUUCACUAAAUGGGGAGAGUUUAUACCCAAGAAUUCUAACAUUUAGCCUCUGAAUUCUUUAUUUUGUACCCUGAUUUCCAUCUCUACUACCGUAGUUUUGCUGCUGGUGUAAAAUGUGUUUUGUAAUACAUAAAGUCAGCAGUAGUUUUGAGAAAAAUAUAUCAAGAUCCACUGCCCAGUGGGGAAGAUAAUCCCUAAGGGUUUGUAUUGUGUAGAUGUGUCACAAGCUGUCCUUUUGAAGUUUAAGUUUGCAGGGGUUUGAUGAGACUUCUUUCAAUGAGACUUAAGCCAAAGGGUAACUUUCCUGACUUAGGCGUUAUUAGUGAAAGCCUUUGUUUCUGGUGUUCAUUCAAAAAAGAGACACAAACUUUGUUUCAGGUUCAGGUAUACUUUGUUUUAUUGUGCUUUACUUUGUUGCACUUUGCAGCUUUUGCAGGUCAUUUGUUUUUGCAGAUUGAAGGUUUGUGGCAUCAGUACCAUUUUUCCAAUACCAUUUGCUUGCUUUGUGUCUUUGUGUCUCAUAUUUGUAAUUCUCACACUGUUUCACACUUUUUCAUUAUUAUUUUAUUUGUUGUGAUCAGUGAUCUUUGAUGUUACUGCUGUGACUUGCUGAAGUUUCACAUGAGGGGUAGCGUCUUUUAGCAGUUGAAAAAGAAUUUUUAUUUUCUUUUUUGGCCAUGCCUUGUGGCAUGCAGCAUCUUGAUUCCCAGGCCAGGGAUUGAACCUGCGCCCCCGUACAGUGGAAGCAUGGAGUCUUAACCACUGGCCCACCAGGAAGUCCCAGUUAAACAUUUUUUAGUCAUAGAAGGUCUCAUGAAAUGUUAACCCCCUCAAAGGCCUGAACUUCUUGAGAGCUGAAACUGAACACCUUCUCAACUGAACUUAAAGGAGAAAUUAAGUGCAAUAUUUGGAACUACAUUUAAAUGAAGAUGAGGUAGAAGACAGAACUGUUACAAGUAUGUAAGUUUUAUUGUACAGACAAAUGAAGGCUUCAGCUCUGUUGUAUUCUUAAAAAUUCCUAGCUUCUAUGUAAUUCUCUAAUUAUAGAACUUUAUCUCAUUAUGUUGAACUAGUCCUGAUUUCACAUGAAAAUCUGACCUGAAACUCUGUUUACAUAAAUAUUGAAAAUGAAUUUAAAAUUAAAUGUGAAUAUUGGUAUAUUAAGAGAUACAAUUUGGUUGAUUCAUAUUUUUUCCAUGUUAAAAAUUAU